Molecule: ribosomal RNA, 856 nt
Filed under: uncultured bacterium
Lineage: Bacteria
Description: bacterial SSU rRNA
Rfam family: Bacterial small subunit ribosomal RNA
Source: RNAcentral
GCAAGUCGAACGAGCCGACCAAUUGGGUAACUAAUAGGUUGGUUAGUGGCGCCCGGUUGAGUAAUGCAUAAGUAACGUACCCCGGGCCCUGGAAUAGCUGCGGUCUUCGGACCUUUAGCGAAAGUGCAGGUAAUACCGGAUGAUAUCUUUGGGUCGUAUGGCUCUUAGAUCAAAGGUUUCGGCCGGCCUGGGAGCGGCCUAUGUCGUAUCAGCUUGUUGGUAGGGUAACGGCCUACCAAGGCAGCGACGCGUAGCGGGACUGAGAGGUUGACCCGCCACAUCGGGACUGAGACACUGCCCGGACCUCCACGGAGGGCUGCAGUAACGGAUAUUGCGCAAUGGGCGAAAGCCUGACGCAGCGACGCCGCGUGUAGGAUGAAGUCUUUCGGGAUGUAAACUGCUGUCAGGGUGAAGAAAGGUACGAUUCGUCGUAUUUGAUCGAUCCCAGAGGAAGGCCCGGCUAACUUCGUGCCAGCAGCCGCGGUAAGACGAAGGGGCCAAGCGUUGUUCGGAAUUACUGGGCUUAAAGAGCGCGUAGGCGGGAAGUUAAGCGUCCUGUGGAAUCCCUCGGCUUAACCGAGGAACUGCGGGGCGAACUGGCUUUCUUGAGGCAAGUAGGGGUGCAUGGAACUCUAGGUGGAGCGGUGAAAUGCGUAGAUAUCUAGAGGAACGCCCGUGGUGAAAACGGUGCACUGGGCUUGUCCUGACGCUGAGGUGCGAAAGCGUGGGGAGCGAACGGGAUUAGAUACCCCGGUAGUCCACGCCGUAAACGAUGUCUACCAGGUCGCGGUGGUUCUGACACUGUCGCGGCCGAAGCAAAGUGUUAAGUAGACCCGCCUGGGGAGUACGGUCGCAA